Molecule: long non-coding RNA, 428 nt
Filed under: Glycine max (soybean)
Lineage: Eukaryota; Viridiplantae; Streptophyta; Magnoliopsida; Fabales; Fabaceae
Description: long non-coding RNA (GMAX_LNC003409)
Source: RNAcentral
AAGAAAUUAUGGGGAUCAACCUUGGUCUUUAUUUGAACCAACCUGUCGAAGUUAUCCUUGAAAUACUCCACUCCAUAAACUCUCCCUUCAGCGUAGCUGUUUUUACCAUUGUGGUUAAUCCCCAAGUCAAGGUCCUUAUAAUUGUAGAAAGCCUCUCUAGGGUUCUUGGAGACAAAAGGAGUCAUGAACUUGUGAAGUUUUCUUGUCAAGUUUAUGUAGUGAUCUGCUACCUCUUUCCCUGGCUUAUUCCAAUUCGCUUGGUAUUGGAUCUUCCAUAGGUUCCCAGCUCGAUGAGGGAAAGGAGAUGCUGUUGAAGGAAUCUCAGCCAUUCUUCCGCCAUAAGGAUUGAAUUGAAAUAGUGUAUCCUCCAACUCAAUCAUCUUCUUCCAAAUCCCUUCAAAACCCUCUAUGGAAAUCGGUUUCUUCAC